GGGAAGCUCCUCACAGCCGCUGGCUCGAACAGAUGGAAUGUGGCGACGGUUGGGAAGCUGAGAAGACUCCUCUAAUGGCUGGAAUUCAUUUGCUGUAAAGGAAGUGGAGGGAUGUUGAGAAGUUGAAGAUUUGGGCAGAUGAUCGGAUGCCGCUUGGAAUACGUGGGACGCGGACGGUUUGGGAGCUGUUCAGCUGCUGGGAUGAACCGAACGGAUGCAUGGAAUACGUGGAUGGCCGUUGUGGAUGAGCUGGGAUCUUCAUGAUGCGGGCACUAAUGCUAGCUGAAUCAGCUGGACGCAGUGAUAUGGAUUGCAUGAUGGAUGACGGGCAACGUGAGGCUCAGAUGAGACGCUAGGGAUUUGUUAAGCACGG
Molecule: long non-coding RNA, 373 nt
Filed under: Phoenix dactylifera (date palm)
Lineage: Eukaryota; Viridiplantae; Streptophyta; Magnoliopsida; Arecales; Arecaceae
Description: long non-coding RNA (PDAC_LNC007512)
Source: RNAcentral